Molecule: ribosomal RNA, 496 nt
Filed under: uncultured bacterium
Lineage: Bacteria
Description: partial 16S ribosomal RNA
Rfam family: Bacterial small subunit ribosomal RNA
Source: RNAcentral
AUGAACGCUGGCGGCGUGCCUAAUACAUGCCAGUCGAGCGAACGGACGAGAAGCUUGCUUCUCUGAUGUUAGCGGCGGACGGGUGAGUAACACGUGGAUAACCUACCUAUAAGACUGGGAUAACUUCGAGAAACCGGAGCUAAUACCGGAUAAUAUUUUGAACCGCAUGGUUCAAAAGUGAAAGACGGUCUUGCUGUCACUUAUAGAUGGAUCCGCGCUGCAUUAGCUAGUUGGUAAGGUAACGGCUUACCAAGGCAACGAUGCAUAGCCGACCUGAGAGGGUGAUCGGCCACACUGGAACUGAGACACGGUCCAGACUCCUACGGGAGGCAGCAGUAGGGAAUCUUCCGCAAUGGGCGAAAGCCUGACGGAGCAACGCCGCGUGAGUGAUGAAGGUCUUCGGAUCGUAAAACUCUGUUAUUAGGGAAGAACAUAUGUGUAAGUAACUGUGCACAUCUUGACGGUACCUAAUCAGAAAGCCACGGCUAACUACGUG